GACGAACGCUGGCGGCGUGCUUAACACAUGCAAGUCGAACGGAAAGGCCCUGCUUUUGUGGGGUGCUCGAGUGGCGAACGGGUGAGUAACACGUGAGUAACCUGCCCUUGACUUUGGGAUAACUUCAGGAAACUGGGGCUAAUACCGGAUAGGAGCUCCUGCUGCAGGGUGGGGGUUGGAAAGUUUCGGCGGUUGGGGAUGGACUCGCGGCUUAUCAGCUUGUUGGUGGGGUAGUGGCUUACCAAGGCUUUGACGGGUAGCCGGCCUGAGAGGGUGACCGGCCACAUUGGGACUGAGAUACGGCCCAGACUCCUACGGGAGGCAGCAGUGGGAAAUAUUGCACAAUGGGCGGAAGCCUGAUGCAGCAACGCCGCGUGCGGGAUGACGGCCUUCGGGUUGUAAACCGCUUUCGCCUGUGACGAAGCGUGAGUGACGGUAAUGGGUAAAGAAGCACCGGCUAACUACGUG
Molecule: ribosomal RNA, 468 nt
Filed under: uncultured bacterium
Lineage: Bacteria
Description: partial 16S ribosomal RNA
Rfam family: Bacterial small subunit ribosomal RNA
Source: RNAcentral